AACGAACGCUGGCGGCAUGCCUAACAUAUGCAAGUCGAACGAGACCUUCGGGUCUAGUGGCGCACGGGUGCGUAACGCGUGGGAACCUGCCCUUAGGUUCGGAAUAACUCCCCGAAAGGGGUGCUAAUACCGGAUAAUGUCUUCGGACCAAAGAUUUAUCGCCUUUGGAUGGGCCCGCGUUGGAUUAGCUAGUUGGUAGGGUAAAAGCCUACCAAGGCGACGAUACAUAGCUGGUCUGAGAGGAUGAUCAGCCACACUGGUACUGAGACACGGCCCAGACUCCUGCGGGAGGCAGCAGUGGGGAAUAUUGGAAAAUGGGGGAAAGCCUGAUCGAGCAAUGCCGGGUGAGUGAUGAAGUCCGUAGGGUUGUAAAGCUCUUUUACACGGGAUGAUAAUGACAGUACCGGGAGAAUAAGCUCCGGCUAACUCCGUG
RNAcentral lists this ribosomal RNA (433 nucleotides) under uncultured bacterium. Its description in RNAcentral is "partial 16S ribosomal RNA". It matches the Rfam family "Bacterial small subunit ribosomal RNA", at positions 29 to 507 of the family's 1533-position model. The record is from RNAcentral.